AAGACACCAUUACCCACAAGUUCCAGUGUAGGGUGUACCGAGACACCGCUACACCCCCAGGUUCUGAGCCACCGAUGGGCUUGAACCUACCAAUCAUGUGUAACACUGCCUAAUCCACACUAAACCUCAGGAUGCCCACUUCCUCCUCCAUCUACCCCCCGAUUUAACCUUGCCAAAACUGGAAAAAUGAUCUAACCUAAUCAAAUUCAAGGAGGGUGGGAGGGACAACUGACAGG
Molecule: non-coding RNA, 236 nt
Organism: Pelobates cultripes (western spadefoot toad)
Lineage: Eukaryota; Metazoa; Chordata; Amphibia; Anura; Pelobatidae
Source: the annotation of a GenBank genome assembly